CCUACGGGUGGCAGCAGUGAGGAAUAUUGGUCAAUGGGCGCGAGCCUGAACCAGCCAAGUAGCGUGAAGGAUGACUGCCCUACGGGUUGUAAACUUCUUUUAUAAAGGAAUAAAGUGAGGCACGUGUGCCUUUUUGUAUGUACUUUAUGAAUAAGGAUCGGCUAACUCCGUGCCAGCAGCCGCGGUAAUACGGAGGAUCCGGGCGUUAUCCGGAUUUAUUGGGUUUAAAGGGAGCGUAGGCCGGUCUUUAAGCGUGCCGUGAAAUUUUGUGGCUCAACCAUGAGAGUGCGGCGCGAACUGGAGACCUUGAGUGCGCGGAAGGCAGGCGGAAUUCGUGGUGUAGCGGUGAAAUGCUUAGAUAUCACGAAGAACCCCGAUUGCGAAGGCAGCUUACUAAACUGUGACUGACAUUGAUGCUCGAAAGUGUGGGUAUCAAACAGGAUUAGAUACCCGGGUAGUC
RNAcentral lists this ribosomal RNA (460 nucleotides) under uncultured bacterium. RNAcentral's name for it is "partial 16S ribosomal RNA". It matches the Rfam family "Bacterial small subunit ribosomal RNA", at positions 338 to 795 of the family's 1533-position model. The record is from RNAcentral.